Molecule: long non-coding RNA, 222 nt
Organism: Zingiber officinale
Lineage: Eukaryota; Viridiplantae; Streptophyta; Magnoliopsida; Zingiberales; Zingiberaceae
Exons: 3
Source: RefSeq, a predicted model, not a curated record
UAUACGGAGGUGGAAUGAGCUCAGCAAAAGCUGCAUUGGAGAGCGAUACAAAAGUGCUGGCUUUUGAACUGCACUUGCUUGCCACAAAGCAUCAGAUGUUUCAUCUGAUUCCAACACCUCAGGGAGCUUUUAUGUACUCAAUGACAUAUUCCGUCUCAACGUGCUCAUUACAAAGAUUCUAGGAUACACUUGGAGGAAUGAUAGCUCGACCUUAUCAUCUGG